GACGAACGCUGGCGGCGUGCUUAACACAUGCAAGUCGAACGGAAAGGCCCUGCUUUUGUGGGGUGCUCGAGUGGCGAACGGGUGAGUAACACGUGAGUAACCUGCCCUUGACUUUGGGAUAACUUCAGGAAACUGGGGCUAAUACCGGAUAGGAGCUCCUGCUGCAUGGUGGGGGUUGGAAAGUUUCGGCGGUUGGGGAUGGACUCGCGGCUUAUCAGCUUGUUGGUGGGGUAGUGGCUUACCAAGGCUUUGACGGGUAGCCGGCCUGAGAGGGUGACCGGCCAAAUUGGGACUGAGAUACGGCACAGACUACUACGGGAGGCAGCAGUGGGGAAUAUUGCACAAUGGGCGGAAGCCUGAUGCAGCAACGCCGCGUGCGGGAUGACGGCCUUCGGGUUGUAAACCGCUUUCGCCUGUGACGAAGCGUGAGUGACGGUAAUGGGUAAAGAAGCACCGGCUAACUACGUG
This 468-nucleotide ribosomal RNA is filed under the name uncultured bacterium. RNAcentral describes it as "partial 16S ribosomal RNA". It matches the Rfam family "Bacterial small subunit ribosomal RNA", at positions 28 to 507 of the family's 1533-position model. The record is from RNAcentral.